CUAGAUGGUGGGGUAACGCCCCACCAUGGCAAUGAUACGUAGCCGACCUGAGAGGUUGAUCGCCCACAUUGGGACUGAGACACGGCCCAACUCCUACGGGAGGCAGCAGUAGGGAAUCUUCCACAAUGGACGAAAGUCUGAUGGAGCAACGCCGCGUGAGUGAAGAAGGUUUUCGGCUACGUAAANCUCUGUUGUUAGAGAAGAACAUGUCUGAGAGUAACUGUUCAGGUAUUGACGGUAUUUAACCAGAAAGCCACGGCUAACUACGUGCCAGCAGCCGCGGUAAUACGUAGGUGGCAAGCGUUGUCCGGAUUUAUUGGGCGUAAAGCGAGCGCAGGCGGUUUUUUAAGUCUGAUGUGAGAGCCUUCGGCUCA
This 374-nucleotide ribosomal RNA is filed under the name Lactiplantibacillus plantarum. Its description in RNAcentral is "bacterial SSU rRNA". It matches the Rfam family "Bacterial small subunit ribosomal RNA", at positions 245 to 611 of the family's 1533-position model. Lineage: Bacteria; Bacillati; Bacillota; Bacilli; Lactobacillales; Lactobacillaceae. The record is from RNAcentral.